Molecule: ribosomal RNA, 468 nt
Filed under: uncultured bacterium
Lineage: Bacteria
Description: partial 16S ribosomal RNA
Rfam family: Bacterial small subunit ribosomal RNA
Source: RNAcentral
GACGAACGCUGGCGGCGUGCUUAACACAUGCAAGUCGAACGGAAAGGCCCUGCUUUUGUGGGGUGCUCGAGUGGCGAACGGGUGAGUAACACGUGAGUAACCUGCCCUUGACUUUGGGAUAACUUCAGGAAACUGGGGCUAAUACCGGAUAGGAGCUCCUGCUGCAUGGUGGGGGUUGGAAAGUUUCGGCGGUUGGGGAUGGACUCGCGGAUUAUCAGCUUGUUGGUGGGGUAGUGGCUUACCAAGGCUUUGACGGGUAGCCGGCCUGAGAGGGUGACCGGCCACAUUGGGACUGAGAUACGGACCAGACUCCUACGGGAGGCAGCAGUGGGGAAUAUUGCACAAUGGGCGGAAGCCUGAUGCAGCAACGCCGCGUGCGGGAUGACGGCCUUCGGGUUGUAAACCGCUUUCGCCUGUGACGAAGCGUGAGUGACGGUAAUGGGUAAAGAAGCACCGGCUAACUACGUG